GCCUGGUUAGCUCAAUCGGUAGAGCGUGAGACUCUUAAUCUCAAGGCUGCGGGUUCGACCCCCGCAUCGGGCU
Truncatella angustata is the source of this 73-nucleotide non-coding RNA. Lineage: Eukaryota; Fungi; Ascomycota; Sordariomycetes; Amphisphaeriales; Sporocadaceae. The record is from the annotation of a RefSeq genome assembly.